GGCCAGACUCCUACGGGAGGCAGCAGUGGGGAAUAUUGCACAAUGGGGGAAACCCUGAUGCAGCGACGCCGCGUGAGGGAAGAAGGUUUUCGGAUUGUAAACCUCUGUCCUUGGUGACGAAAGAAGACGGUAGCCAAGGAGGAAGCCACGGCUAACUACGUGCCAGCAGCCGCGGUAAUACGUAGGGGGCAAGCGUUAUCCGGAUUUACUGGGUGUAAAGGGAGCGCAGACGGCAAUGCAAGCCUGGAGUGAAAGGCGGGGGCCCAACCCCCGGACUGCUCUGGGAACUGUAUAGCUAGAGUGCAGGAGAGGCAAGUGGAAUUCCUAGUGUAGCGGUGAAAUGCGUAGAUAUUAGGAGGAACACCAGUGGCGAAGGCGGCUUGCUGGACUGUAACUGACGUUGAGGCUCGAAAGCGUGGGGAGCAAACAGGAUUAGAUACCCCAGUA
Molecule: ribosomal RNA, 447 nt
Filed under: uncultured bacterium
Lineage: Bacteria
Description: partial 16S ribosomal RNA
Rfam family: Bacterial small subunit ribosomal RNA
Source: RNAcentral